RNAcentral lists this ribosomal RNA (915 nucleotides) under uncultured bacterium. Its description in RNAcentral is "bacterial SSU rRNA". It matches the Rfam family "Bacterial small subunit ribosomal RNA", at positions 45 to 979 of the family's 1533-position model. The record is from RNAcentral.
CGCUUAGGCAUGCAGUCGGACGGUGAAGCCCCUUCGGGGGUGGAAUAGUGGCGAACGGCUGAAUAACGCGUAAGUAACCUACCCCCGAGUGGGGAAUAACUCCGGGAAAUCGGAGCUAAUACCGCAUAAUCCGUUCUGUCGCAUGGCAUAACGGCAAAGGUUUCGGCCGCUUGGGGAUGGGCUUGCGUUCUAUCAGGUAGUUGGUGAGGUAAAGGCCCACCAAGCCAAUGACGGAUAGCUGGUCUGAGAGGAUGAUCAGCCAGAGGGGGACUGCGACACGGCCCCCACUCCUACGGGAGGCAGCAGCAGGGAAUCUUGCGCAAUGGGCGAAAGCCUGACGCAGCGACGCCGCGUGCGGGAAGAAGGCCUUCGGGUUGUAAACCGCUUUUCUGAGGGAAGAGAAAGGACGGUACCUCAGGAAUAAGCCUCGGCUAACUACGUGCCAGCAGCCGCGGUGAUACGUAGGAGGCAAGCGUUGUCCGGAUUUACUGGGCGUAAAGGGCGUGUAGGCGGUACAGAAAGUCUUUGCUUAAAUAUCCCGGCUCAACUGGGAGAGUGGCAGAGAUACUUCUGAACUAGAGGACAGUAGAGGAGAGUGGAAUUCCCGGUGUAGUGGUGGAAUGCGUAGAUAUCGGGAGGAACACCAGUGGCGAAAGCGGCUCUCUGGGCUGUACCUGACGCUGAGGCGCGAAAGCGUGGGUAGCAAACCGGAUUAGAUACCCGGGUAGUCCACGCCAUAAACGAUGGAUGCUGGGUAUAGAGGGUAUCGACCCCUUCUGUGCCGAAGCUAACGCGUUAAGCAUCCCGCCUGGGAACUACGGCCGCAAGGCUAAAACUCAAAGGAAUUGACGGGGGCCCGCACAAGCAGCGGAGCGUGUGGUUUAAUUCGAUGCUAAGCGAAGAACCUUACCAGGC